Molecule: non-coding RNA, 529 nt
Organism: Pantherophis guttatus
Lineage: Eukaryota; Metazoa; Chordata; Lepidosauria; Squamata; Colubridae
Source: RefSeq, a predicted model, not a curated record
AGAAUUCCCAGCGAGGCGCGGGACUCGAAGCCUGGAAUCGGCGAAAACCGCCGAUGGAGACGGAGGCCGGUUAGGGACAAAAACUAGCAAUCGCGCAGCGUCCGUGGCUUCCGCACGGCGGGGGGUGGGGGCGGGGUGAAUCCUUCCCUUCCCGAGCAAGAGAGAGGCAGAGGGACCAUCAACAAUCCAGCUCUCAGGACGGCCAUGAUGCGCUGAACUAAGGGAGGGCAGGACUUCGGAGGGCCGCUUCUCUUAGCUGCUUGACACGCUCCUUCUGUGAAAUGAGAAUCAGAACCGUCACUUCUGACAUCCCUUUCAGAAGAUGCAAAGGGCCAUUCUCCCUUGCUCAACAAUACACAGUGCACUCCCGCUUCACUUUUGUCAAUUUUGUUAGGCUGCUGCCUAAUUCUACAGUCAUUGAAAUUCAUUUUUUUUCUCAUUAAUCUACGCUCAGUACCCCAUAAUGACAAAGUGAAAACAGAAUUUUAGAAAUGUCUGUAAAAUUUAUUAAAAAGCAAAAACCCUGAAA